UGGGGCGUAGACAAACUGGCAAGUCAGGAGACUUUGGAUCUCCCAUGUGGAGGUUCGAAUCCUCCCGCCCCAGCCA
RNAcentral lists this transfer RNA (76 nucleotides) under Nitrospirota bacterium. RNAcentral describes it as "Nitrospirae bacterium (sediment metagenome) tRNA-Gln". It matches the Rfam family "tRNA". Rfam says of the family: Transfer RNA (tRNA) molecules are approximately 80 nucleotides in length. Their secondary structure includes four short double-helical elements and three loops (D, anti-codon, and T loops). The record is from RNAcentral. Lineage: Bacteria; Pseudomonadati; Nitrospirota.